This 198-nucleotide unclassified non-coding RNA is filed under the name uncultured Russula. RNAcentral's name for it is "sequence contains ITS1". The record is from RNAcentral. Lineage: Eukaryota; Fungi; Basidiomycota; Agaricomycetes; Russulales; Russulaceae.
UCAUACAAUGGAGGUGCGAGGGCUGUCGCUGACCCUCGACGGUCGUGCACGCCCGAGCACUCUCACACAUCCAUCCUCACCCCUUUGUGCAUCACCGCAUGGGUUCCCUUGGAACAACCGGGGGGGCCCAUGUUUUUUCACACAAACAUCAAAGUAGCGUAGAAUGUAUUUUCUUUUUGCGGUGAUACGCAAUCAAUA